CCUUCCAGUCAUUUACUUCUGAAUCCCCUUAAGGGAGUGUUGGAGGUGCAGGGUUUCACUGGGAAAAGCAAUAUGCCACUAGACUGGAUGCUGCUGCUUUAAACUGGCAUUGAUUCCAGUUCCUUUGAUUUGGAGAAUGACACCCCACCCCCACCUCAUCCCACCUUCCUCUUCACAACUUCAGAAACCUGGAGUUCUGCCAAAGCCAGAGAUGGAAAUGGGUCUGUGAUGGACAGGACCGAGGUUAGUGGAACAGUCUGGGCUGCCUCCUGAUGACCCCUCCCAGCCACGCGCCUCCUCCUUACCUGGCUCCUUCGGCGUAGUCUUCGCCGCGGCGGGCCGUCCAGGGCGUUGGCGGGUGAAGUUGGGGCCACCGCGCGGCGGGGGCUCCGCACACGGAGGACGGCCCACGGAUCGGCGAUAUCGGCCUAGGCGGGCAUUCAGGAUUAGGCUUAAGGAUCGCCCAAAGCGGCUGGCACCAGAUGCAGAUGUGCUACCCGUCCGCCGGCUCCCUAACAAUCAACAAACCAAAUGGUUUUUGCUCUUUGCCAAAACAGAGAUUCGAACCAGCACCAGCAAAAGGAUCUAGGAGAAAAGCAAUUUAGCCACAGCUCAAGCUGGCAAAGUGCUCCCAACCUAGGCGAAUGGGAAAAGAUCGUGGAGUCAAGGUAACAAGCAAUUAUCAAGUGCCUCCGGUAUACCAAGUACUGGGGAUAGGAAGAAAGGCAAAAGAUAGGCCAUGACUUCAAGGAGCUCCCAGUUUAAUGCGGAGAAAAUAUGUAAAUAACUAUGUCAAGCCAAUAUAUAGACGAGAAUUUAGAGAUAGUCACUGAGAGAAGGCACUGGCAGUAAUGGAAAUGGAG
RNAcentral lists this long non-coding RNA (863 nucleotides) under Vombatus ursinus (common wombat). Its description in RNAcentral is "lncRNA (ENSVURG00010010308.1)". The record is from RNAcentral. Lineage: Eukaryota; Metazoa; Chordata; Mammalia; Diprotodontia; Vombatidae.